CCUACGGGUGGCAGCAGUGGGGAAUAUUGGACAAUGGGGGGAACCCUGAUCCAGCGACGCCGCGUGAGUGAAGAAGUAUUUCGGUAUUUAAAGCUCUAUCAGCAGGGAAGAAAGAAAUGACGGGACCUGACUAAGAAGCCCCGGAUAACGACGUGCCAGCAGCCGCGGUAAUACGUAGGGGGCAAGCGUUAUCCGGAUUUACUGGGUGUAAAGGGAGCGUAGACGGCGAUUCAAGUCUGAUGGUAAAGGUGGGGGCCCAACCCCUGGACUGCUUUGGAAACUGUAUGGCGUGAGUGCAGGAGAGGUAAGUGGAAUUCCUAGUGUAGCGGUGAAAUGCGUAGAUAUUAGGAGGAACACCAGUGGCGAAGGCGGCUUACUGGACUGUAACUGACGUUGAGGCUCGAAAGCGUGGGGAGCAAACAGGAUUAGAUACCCUAGUAGUC
RNAcentral lists this ribosomal RNA (443 nucleotides) under uncultured bacterium. RNAcentral describes it as "partial 16S ribosomal RNA". It matches the Rfam family "Bacterial small subunit ribosomal RNA", at positions 338 to 795 of the family's 1533-position model. The record is from RNAcentral.